AAUAGAUACCCCGGUAGUCCACGCCGUAAACGAUGAGUGCUAAGUGUUAGGGGGUUUCCGCCCCUUAGUGCUGCAGCUAACGCAUUAAGCACUCCGCCUGGGGGAGUACGGUCGCAAGACUGAAACUCAAAGGAAUUGACGGGGGGCCCGCACAAGCGGUGGAGCAUGUGGUUUAAUUCGAAGCAACGCGAAGAACCUUACCAGGUCUUGACAUCCCAUUGACCACUAUGGAGACAUAGUUUUCCCUUCGGGGACAACGGUGACAGGUGGUGCAUGGUUGUCGUCAGCUCGUGUCGUGAGAUGUUGGGUUAAGUCCCGCAACGAGCGCAACCCUUGUUCUUAGUUGCCAUCAUUUAGUUGGGCACUCUAAGGAGACUGCCGGUGACAAACCGGAGGAAGGUGGGGAUGACGUCAAAUCAUCAUGCCCCUUAUGACCUGGGCUACACACGUGCUACAAUGGACGGUACAAACGGUUGCCAACCCGCGAGGGGAGCUAAUCCGAUAAACCGUUCUCAGUUCGGAUUGUAGGCUGCAACUCGCCUACAUGAAGCC
RNAcentral lists this ribosomal RNA (552 nucleotides) under uncultured bacterium. Its description in RNAcentral is "bacterial SSU rRNA". It matches the Rfam family "Bacterial small subunit ribosomal RNA", at positions 777 to 1327 of the family's 1533-position model. The record is from RNAcentral.